UCGGCCUGGGAGGGCACGCGCUCACUCGAAAAACGCUCCCCUGCGGAUCACAGGCUUACCUCCACCAAGAGUCCACAUCGACGUGUAGGUAUGGCACCUCGAUGUCGGCUCAUCACAUCUUCGGGUGGGAGUAGGUCCAAAGGGUUGGGCAGUUAGCCCAGGAAAGUGGUAGGCGCGCUGGGUUCAGAACGUCGUGGGACAGUUCGGUCCCUAUCCGUCGCAGGCGUAGGAAAUUUGAGGAGACCUGUCCUUAGUACGAGAGGCCCGGGAUGGACGUACCUCUGGUGUACCAGUUGU
This 297-nucleotide ribosomal RNA is filed under the name Clostridioides difficile. RNAcentral describes it as "partial 23S ribosomal RNA". It matches the Rfam family "Bacterial large subunit ribosomal RNA", at positions 2428 to 2724 of the family's 2925-position model. Lineage: Bacteria; Bacillati; Bacillota; Clostridia; Peptostreptococcales; Peptostreptococcaceae. The record is from RNAcentral.